GGGGACAAAGCUAAAUGGUAAAGCACUUGUGCAGUGAGCACAGGGCCCUGGGUUCAAUCCCUAGUGUCCCCA
RNAcentral lists this transfer RNA (72 nucleotides) under Ictidomys tridecemlineatus (thirteen-lined ground squirrel). Its description in RNAcentral is "Spermophilus tridecemlineatus (thirteen-lined ground squirrel) tRNA". It matches the Rfam family "tRNA". Rfam says of the family: Transfer RNA (tRNA) molecules are approximately 80 nucleotides in length. Their secondary structure includes four short double-helical elements and three loops (D, anti-codon, and T loops). The record is from Rfam by way of RNAcentral. Lineage: Eukaryota; Metazoa; Chordata; Mammalia; Rodentia; Sciuridae.